CCUGUUACAGAUUCUGUCCCAAAAUCAAAACAAGAAACAAGUUGAUUGGGUGGGAAGAACAUCUUACUCUCUUCUUCAUCAUCCAUCUUCCACAGUGAGUCCCAGCAGUAUUCCCAUGAAAAAUUGCAACCUUGUUGACUGUAGUUAUCAGGCAGAGGUUUUAUUAUUGUGUCUUCUUCAGGCAUAUCAAUGUCUUUCCAUAUAUCAUCCAUGGAGUAGCCAUUUCCAUCUUCAAAUUCUGGACUGUUUUUCUUUCCUGCCAUGUCAAGGCCCCCAGUGUCAUAAAAGCUUACAAUAUUUCCAGUACCAGAGGAGGGCAAGGAAUCGAC
Molecule: long non-coding RNA, 329 nt
Filed under: Gossypium barbadense (sea-island cotton)
Lineage: Eukaryota; Viridiplantae; Streptophyta; Magnoliopsida; Malvales; Malvaceae
Description: long non-coding RNA (GBAR_LNC017700)
Source: RNAcentral